CCCUUAGAUGUUCUGGGCCGCACGCGUAUUACAAUGGCGUUUUCACUUGGCAUUCAAUGCCUGUAAAAGGGCAUGGUAUCUCAUGAAAAAACGUCAAAUCGGGAUUGGCUUUUGGAAUUAUUGGCCUUGAACGAGGAAUUCCUUGUAAUUGUAAAUCAUCAGUUUGCGAUGAAUACGUCCCUGCCCUUUGUACACACCGCCCGUCGCUCCUACCGAUUGGGUGAUCCGGUUAAUUACAUGGAGUGGCACUGUACCAUUCAAUGGUUCAGUCGGCACGAAAUGUUGUAAACCUUAUCAUUUAGAGGAAGGAGAAGUCGUAACA
RNAcentral lists this ribosomal RNA (322 nucleotides) under uncultured eukaryote. RNAcentral's name for it is "partial 18S ribosomal RNA". It matches the Rfam family "Eukaryotic small subunit ribosomal RNA", at positions 1470 to 1796 of the family's 1831-position model. The record is from RNAcentral.